RNAcentral lists this ribosomal RNA (465 nucleotides) under uncultured bacterium. RNAcentral's name for it is "partial 16S ribosomal RNA". It matches the Rfam family "Bacterial small subunit ribosomal RNA", at positions 339 to 795 of the family's 1533-position model. The record is from RNAcentral.
CUACGGGGUGCAGCAGUGGGGAAUAUUGGACAAUGGGGGAAACCCUGAUCCAGCAAUGCCGCGUGUGUGAAGAAGGCCUGCGGGUUGUAAAGCACUUUCGGUUGGGAGGACUGCUUCUAGCACUAAUAUUGUUGGAAGUUGACGUUACCUUCAGAAGAAGCACCGGCUAACUCCGUGCCAGCGGCCGCGGUAAUACGGAGGGUGCAAGCGUUAAUCGGAAUUACUGGGCGUAAAGCGCGCGUAGGCGGCUAGAUCAGUCGGGUGUGAAAGCCCCGGGCUUAACCUGGGAACUGCAUCCGAUACUGUCUAGCUUGAGUACAGGAGAGGAGAGUGGAAUUCCACAUGUAGGGGUGAAAUGCGUAGAUAUGUGGAGGAACACCAAUGGCGAAGGCAGCUCUCUGGCCUGAUACUGACGCUGAGGUGCGAAAGCGUGGGGAGCAAACAGGAUUAGAUACCCGGGUAGUC